This 506-nucleotide ribosomal RNA is filed under the name uncultured bacterium. Its description in RNAcentral is "bacterial SSU rRNA". It matches the Rfam family "Bacterial small subunit ribosomal RNA", at positions 15 to 518 of the family's 1533-position model. The record is from RNAcentral.
GAUUAUGGCUCAGGAUGAACGCUGGCGGCGUGCUUAAUACAUGCAAGUCGAACGAAGCACUAUUGACCGAACCCCUCGGGGUGAAGAUGAUUGUGACUUAGUGGCGGACGGGUGAGUAACGCGUGGGGAACCUGCCUUGUGCUGGGGGAUAACAGUUAGAAAUGACUGCUAAUACCGCAUAAGCGCACGUGGCCGCAUGGUCAAGUGUGAAAAGAUUUAUCGGCAUGAGAUGGACCCGCGUCUGAUUAGGUAGUUGGCGGGGUAACGGCCCACCAAGCCCGCGAUCAGUAGCCGACUUGAGAGAGUGAUCGGCCACAUUGGGACUGAGACACGGCCCAGACUCCUACGGGAGGCAGCAGUAGGGAAUAUUGCACAAUGGGGGAAACCCUGAUGCAAGCGACGCCGCGUGAGUGAUGAAGUAUUUCGGUACGUAAAGCUCUAUCAGCAGGGAAGAUGAUGACGGUACCUGACCAAGAAGCCCCGGCUAACUACGUGCCAGCCGCAGC